UUCCGGUUGAUCCUGCCGGACCCGACUGCUAUUUGGGUGAGGAUAAGCCAUGCGAGUUGAAUGGGAAACCUAAAAAUCCCAUGGCAAACUGCUCAGUAACACAUGAUCAACUUACCCUAUAGAGGAAAAUAACCUCGGGAAACUGAGGAUAAUGUUCCAUAGUUGAAUCGGCUUGGAAAAGUUUUUCAAUAAAAGGGAUAAGGAAAAUGGUCCUUAUCUGCUAUAGGAUAGGAUCGUGCUCGAUUAUGGUUGUUGGUGAGGUAAAGGCUCACCAAGCCGGUAAUCGAUAGGGGCCGUGAGAGCGGGAGCCCCGAGAUGGGUACUGAGACAACGACCCAGGCCUUACGAGGCGCAGCAGGCGCGAAACCUCCGCAAUACACGAAAGUGUGACGGGGUUACCCAAAGUGUUCAUUAGAACUGUGGUAGGUGAGUAAUGUUCCCUACUAGAAAGGAGAGGGCAAGGCUGGUGCCAGCCGCCGCGGUAAAACCAGCUCUUCAAGUGGUCGGGAUAAUUAUUGGGCUUAAAGUGUCCGUAGCCGGUUUAGUAAGUUCCUGGUAAAAUCGGGUAGCUUAACUAUCUAUAUGCUAGGAAUACUGCUAUACUAGAGGGCGGGAGAGGUCUGAGGUACUACAGGGGUAGGGGUGAAAUCUUAUAAUCCUUGUAGGACCACCAGUGGCGAAGGCGUCAGACUGGAACGCGCCUGACGGUGAGGGACGAAAGCCAGGGGAGCGAACCGGAUUAGAUACCCGGGUAGUCCUGGCCGUAAACGAUGCAUACUAGGUGAUGGCACGGCCAUGAGCCGUGUCAGUGCCGUAGGGAAACCGUUAAGUGUGCGGCCUGGGAAGUACGGUCGCAAGGCUAAAACUUAAAGGAAUUGGCGGGGGAGCACCACAAGGGGUGAAGCCUGCGGUUCAAUUGGAUUCAACGCCGGA
This 933-nucleotide ribosomal RNA is filed under the name uncultured archaeon. RNAcentral describes it as "bacterial SSU rRNA". It matches the Rfam family "Archaeal small subunit ribosomal RNA", at positions 1 to 922 of the family's 1478-position model. The record is from RNAcentral.